Equus caballus (horse) is the source of this 1106-nucleotide non-coding RNA. The record is from RefSeq and is a predicted model, not a curated record. NCBI's taxonomy places the organism in Eukaryota, Metazoa, Chordata, Mammalia, Perissodactyla, Equidae.
AGGCAGAAGGGAGAGUGAGUGUGGAAUCUGCCCCGAGCGGAGCCAGCACUUGACUCCCCCAGCUCCCUCUGUUUCUUUUUUUAAAGACACAAGACUGGCGCUUAACCAUCAGGUGGUUAAAUGAGAAAUAAGAUGGAGACCGCUCUGGAAAAGCAGCAGCUCUAAAACAGUCUAAAUUAGUCAAGUUGUUUUGCAGGAAAAACCAGAAGUGACUCGGGGAAAAAAAAAAUCAGAAUGAGCAAGUACUUCCGCUUAAUCAGUACCCCAACAGCUCUGAACUAGAGAACCUGCUGUAAUUGCCAGUGAAAACCUCACGUUCUUGCAGCGAAUGGCAACAUGUUUUGCCUAAUUCCUGCACUGUCAACUCAGAUGGAUGUCCUUUUAGCUAUAGCAUUUUACCCCAUUUAUUUCUUUGGCAGACAUCGCGUCUUUCUUUGCUUUCUUUUUCAUUUAGGAAUGGACAGCCUUUUUCAUUUAGGAAUGGAAACAAAGCAGUGUAUUUAUAUUGCUAAGGAAAACUUUGAGGAGGUGUUAUUAUACAGGACAGAUAACAGAGCUGUGUGCUGAAGCUUUUUACCAGGAAGAAAUGGAACAUCGAUAUUGCAGAGGACUUGGCCUGGGAACUGUGGGAAACAGGCAAGAGCCAACUUCAAACCAGUCAGCCUGAGAAGCCUAGCCUGCGAGUUCUGGUGCAGACUGGUGUCCAGUCUCCCGGAUUCCAUUCAUAGCAGGUGUAGCACCCUUUCUUCCACCAAAACUUUACUUAGAUGCACAAACAAAACUGAUGAAACAGGAGCUGGCUGAAGUGGAGGGAGGGGAUGCAUCUCCACCCAUUCUGCUCCAUCGUCCACUAGGGCUGUGCACGGACACCACAGGAUCUUCAGGACUACCGAGAGCACAGUUUGGAACCUGCCAGUUAAAUGGCCUCUAAAGUCACUUACAGCUCCAAAAUUAUUCUGCCGGAACUAUCUUUAUAUUGCAACGACAGGCAAAGCAUUCAUUAGGAUUCAUCAUCUUAUGGGAAAACAAGCGAUAAAACUAAACCAUGAGCUGGCUUCAUCCUUAUUAUCAAUGAUCUACUAAAAAAAAAAAAAAAUGCCACACCA